GAGAUCGUCAUUGGCGGCACAGGAAAGGAUUCAUCUGGAUAUUUGAGAAGAUCAUAGUCAUCAAGAAAAACUUCAACUAAUUUAAGGGCAGAAGCUUGGUGACACUGCUAAGGGUGAUGCACGUGAAUAGUUUUGAUGGCUUAUGAGGGUUGUUUAAUAGAUGAAGAGUUGUCGUUGGCCAUGGGAGGCAAAAAGAAAAGGAAGGAUCGACGUCCUAUGUUGAAGAAGAUAAAAAAAAAAAAAAACAAAACAUCCAUGAACAAGUAAAACAUAAAAGACAUUAGAUGAAAAAGAGACUUUUAGGGGACCACUAGGCCACCGACGGCAACAAAGACAAAGUAGAAAAGGAUCAGAAAACCUGCUCUGAUACCAUAUAGAAAACCUACUCUAAUACCAUAUAGAAAAGUAUUUUGGAUGAAUUUCUUAUUUGACCAUUGGAUUGCAAUAGUAUAAAUAUACAAAUUGAUAACCUAAUUGGAAAUAGUUAAAAGGAAUAAACUCCACCCAGUAUAAAUAUACAAAUUGAUAACCUAAUUGGAAAGAGUUAAAAGAGAAUAAACUCCACC
RNAcentral lists this long non-coding RNA (566 nucleotides) under Vigna radiata. RNAcentral describes it as "long non-coding RNA (VRAD_LNC017999)". Lineage: Eukaryota; Viridiplantae; Streptophyta; Magnoliopsida; Fabales; Fabaceae. The record is from RNAcentral.